GAUGAACGCUGGCGGCGUGCCUAACACAUGCAAGUCGAACGGUACCUCUUCGGGUGACGAGUGGCGGACGGCUGAGUAACGCGUGGGAACGUGCCCUAAAGUGAGGAAUAAGCUCAAGAAAUUGAGUCUAAUACCGCAUAUGGUCUUCGGAUUAAAGUAUUUAUACGCUUUGGGAGCGGCCCGCGUCGGAUUAGGUUGUUGGUGAGGUAAAGGCUCACCAAGCCGACGAUCCGUAGCUGGUCUGAGAGGAUGACCAGCCAGACUGGAACUGAGACACGGUCCAGACUCCUACGGGAGGCAGCAGUGAGGAAUCUUCCACAAUGGGGGCAACCCUGAUGGAGCAACGCCGCGUGCAGGAUGAAGGCCUUCGGGUUGUAAACGUGCUUUUAUUAGUGAAGAAUACGACUGUAACUAAUGAAUAAGGAUCGGCUAACUACGUGCCAGCAGCCGCGGUCAUACGUAGGAUCCGAGCGUUAUCCGGAGUGACUGGGCGUAAAGAGUUGCGUAGGCGGUUUAUUAAGCGAAUAGUGAAAUCUGGUGGCUCAACCAUACAGACUAUUUGUUCGAACUGGUAAACUCGAGAGUGAUAGAGGUAGCUGGAAUUUCUAGUGUAGGAGUGAUAUCCGUAGAUAUUAGAAGGAACACCGAUGGCGUAGGCAGGCUACUGGAUCAUUUCUGACGCUAAGGCACGAAAGCGUGGGGAGCGAACCGGAUUAGAUACCCGGGUAGUCCACGCCGUAAACGAUGGAUGCUAGCUGUUCGAGGUAUCGACCCCUGGAGUAGCGAAGCUAACGCGUUAAGCAUCCCGCCUGUGGAGUACGGCCGCAAGGCUAAAACAUAAAGGAAUUGACGGGGACCCGCACAAGCGGUGGAUCGUGUUCUUUAAUUCGAUGAUAAACGAAGAACCUUACCAGGGCUUGACAUCCAGGGAAUUUCUACGAAAGUAGUUAGUGCCUUUUGGAACCCUGUGACAGGUGAUGCAUGGCCGUCGUCAGCUCGUGUCGUGAGAUGUUUGGUUAAGUCCAUCAACGAGCGCAACCCUUGUGAAUAGUUGGAUUUUUCUAUUCAGACUGCCCCGGUAACGGGGAGGAAGGAGGGGAUGAUGUCAGGUCAGUAUUUCCCUUACGUCCUGGGCUAGAAACACGAUACAAUGGCUAGUACAAUGCGCAGCGAAGCCGCGAGGUGGAGCAAAUCGCAUCAAAGCUAGUCCCAGUUCGGAUAAGAGGCUGAAACUCGCCUCUUUGAAGUCGGAAUCGCUAGUAAUCGCAAAUCAGCAAGUUGCGGUGAAUACGUUCCCGGGUCU
This 1303-nucleotide ribosomal RNA is filed under the name uncultured bacterium. RNAcentral's name for it is "bacterial SSU rRNA". It matches the Rfam family "Bacterial small subunit ribosomal RNA", at positions 28 to 1381 of the family's 1533-position model. The record is from RNAcentral.